This is a non-coding RNA of Pelobates cultripes (western spadefoot toad), 167 nucleotides long. Lineage: Eukaryota; Metazoa; Chordata; Amphibia; Anura; Pelobatidae. The record is from the annotation of a GenBank genome assembly.
GGUCAGCUGACACAUCCCUGCCAAUCUCCGGCAGACCCUCCCUCCCAGACCCUCCUACUUCCUGGACAGCAUCCAUGUUGAAGGCAGCUUCAACAUGGAUGCUGUCCAGGAGGUGGGAGAGUCUGGGAGGGAGGGUCUGCCAGAGAUUGGCAGGGAUGUGUCAGCUG